RNAcentral lists this ribosomal RNA (511 nucleotides) under uncultured bacterium. Its description in RNAcentral is "bacterial SSU rRNA". It matches the Rfam family "Bacterial small subunit ribosomal RNA", at positions 10 to 522 of the family's 1533-position model. The record is from RNAcentral.
ACUUUGAUUCUGGCUCGGGACGAACGCUGGCGGCGCGCCUAACACAUGCAAGUCGAGCGGGAAGCUUUUUAAGGAUUCUUCGGAUGAAUUAAAAAGUGGAGAGCGGCGGACGGGUGAGUAACGCGUGAGAAACCUGCCCUAUACAGGGGGAUAGCCAUUGGAAACGAUGAUUAAUACCCCAUAUGACCACAGUAUCGCAUGAUACAGCGGUGAAAACUCCGGUGGUAUAGGAUGGUCUCGCGUCUGAUUAGCUAGUUGGUGGGGUAACGGCCUACCAAGGCGACGAUCAGUAGCCGGCCUGAGAGGGUGACCGGCCACACUGGAACUGAGACGCGGUCCAGACUCCUACGGGAGGCAGCAGUGGGGAAUAUUGCACAAUGGGCGAAAGCCUGAUGCAGCGACGCCGCGUGAACGAUGAAGGCUUUCGAGUCGUAAAGUUCUGUUCUUGGGGAAGAUAACGACGGUACCCAAGGAGAAAGCACCGGCUAAAUACGUGCCAGCAGCCGCGGUA